Molecule: long non-coding RNA, 3273 nt
Filed under: Durio zibethinus
Lineage: Eukaryota; Viridiplantae; Streptophyta; Magnoliopsida; Malvales; Malvaceae
Description: long non-coding RNA (DZIB_LNC002241)
Source: RNAcentral
UUUAUGUACCAAAUUAGUCGUUUCCAGAACCAUCUCAGCAAUCUAUAAAGAAAAAAGCCUGGUUCUCUUUGUCUUCGAGCUUUCAUUCCUAAAGAAAGUGGAAUAAGUAAAGCUGGACCUUCUCCCUUCAUCGACAACCAAAAGAGAGAAGCCACCCGCGGUACACCUACUAUAUGAUCGUCGAAUCACUGCUUUGUUCACUGAAAUGCGAGAAUACCUUUUGAAGUUUAGAGCAAGCCCCUUCCCCAUUGUUUUAGCGUUCGUGCCUUCCCCCAUCAGUUUCUUCAAUAGGCUUCCUCCUCUCCUACUGCAUUACUGCCUACUACAACUAAAGCAAAAGCACCAAGCCAAGACUUAGCCUAGCUACCACCGAAGCCAUAGGCUACAUUAACUUAACUAAGCUACCAUAAUCACAAGGGAAAGCAAACCACACUAAUACAAAUUGAGUUUCAUGCUCCUUUGCCCAGAGACAGGGCUACUGGUUCUAUCCUUACUUUCUUAUUUUUCUUUCAGAACCUUGGGCGACUUCUCCCCCUUUUAAAGACGUUAGCAAUAACAGCUUAUGAAAUAUUCCUACUAAUAGCUACCUCCUCUAGAACAGCGAGAACAAGAGAAAUCUCUGUCCCAAAGCCUUACCUUCCCUUUUCUUCCCUUUUUCUAGCUAAACGCAAAGAGAACAAUUGUUAUUGUAUUUUCCUUCCAACACGUUGUCAAAGAGCGGAUUCAUACCAUCCUCUUAAAUAGUCGAGUUACGGAAAAGAGAUAGCAUUCGACAUGUUCAAGCUGAAAACGACUUCGAACUAUAAUCUUUAUUCUAUGAGGUAAUUAGAAAUAUCGUAAGAGAAGAAGUAAUGCCCAAAGACUCCUAUGCCUUUCUUGGUUGGACCAACCCAACUAGGGAUUUUUGACAAGUCUUUUUUUAUUUUUAGAGCAAGAAACGGAACUACAAGAAAGCUUUCUUUAUUUUUCUGAAAUGCAAAACCACCCCGACCUCAUUUUUAACAAAUAUGUAACCAAUUUAAUGAUUUGCUGGAAAAAAUAAUAAAGAAUUACCUCCCCAAUGGUCUCUUUCAGACUUUUCCCAAAAAGGUGAUUUUAUCUGUACCGUAAAGAGGUAAAAGGAAUUUUUUAUUCUAAAACAAAAGAAGGUAUUCUCCCUACUGGAACCGGGCAUACAUAAAUAGACUAUACUUAACUAUGAAACUCAUUGAAUAGGGGCAAACGCUUAUGCUACUACCUUAGUCUAAGUCAUAGACCAUGGGCAGACACCAAUGCUAUCUCAGGCUAUGUGUCACGGACUAAGUUUUCUCUCAACAAGUAAUAGAUCGUGCAGCACUUGAAUGAGCGCUCCCACCCAAGUCAACCUUCAACAGUUUGAUAUCUAAACAAAUAACCAUAAGCUAUGGUUAGUCCCAAGCAUUCACAAUAAGACACAUUAUAUCGAGAUUAAUCUCAAGCACACACAAAAAAAUACAUUCACAUCGAGAAAAAAAAAUACAUCGAGGUAACAUCUGGGACAUUCAAUCGAGAUGGAUUUUAUUAUAAUCGAGAAUCAUACAUCGGGACUUCCCACCAUCACCAAAGCCAGGGCGGUAGCCUUUGGUGGAUGGCUUAAGCUCGUAUAACAACCGGUGAGACAGCCCAACAAUACGCUGCCGGCUUACCUCUAAAGAGCCUUAGAGAUUUUAGAGCUAUGCUACACUAACCAUUAUAAUGUUUAAAAUGGAAACACUUUUCCUAACAUAAGAGAUCUACCCGACCAUGACCUUAUACAUGGGUGGCUCAUGACAACCUAAGCCCCGGUCAUGGCCCUAUACAAGGUUAGCUCAUGACACUAUGGCUACCUUACUACUAGUAGGGGUAGGGCGAACAGGCAAUGAUUAUAGAACUAAAGAACUAACUUAAAACCAGAAGGCUUCUUCAUAAUUAGUCUCAAUUAUUUUUGCUAUACUAUUAAAUUAAGGCUCACAUUUCAUGCCCGAAUGGCUGGCUAUUAGUAUCAAAGGCAACCUACAUUUGAUAGACGAACAUCAAUAUCCCUAUUGAAAUACGGAAGGUGACCCUUUUCAAUGAGCGAAUCUAAGGAACGCUAGAAAAGGUCUAAUGGCGAACUCAUGCUACCUUUGGCUAUAGAACGACGGAGCUUAAUCCAUACUAUGUCAAGGAAGUCAGGGCUUUCGCCUACCUGGGUCUAAGGAACCUUGAGUCCCUACUCUUUCUUUUGGAAAAGCACUCGGAAGUUAGAUAUUUCAUUUUUGAGUCACCGAGGCAAAGAGAAGUAUGGCGAAGCCUAAGGAGUUUUUCCUUUUCGCAGUGUAUUGCUGAGAGGUUGUGCAAAAAUGCACUUCGCAUCAGUGUAGUGAGUGGUAGGUUAACAAGACUCUGUUUUGAUAUCGUAGAGACGGUGACCUGUACCGUUAAGGUAAGGCCGGAAGCUUGUCGAGACCGGCCUGUGUUGAGCACUCGAUCGUUACUAGAGCAUAGAAAGGAGAUGACGUAACAAGCUGCAGAGCCGAAAGCUCAUGUUUUGAGAUCUAGAUAGGCGGGCCAUUCCCUUAGGUUUUCAAGUUCCAGGCGAGUGUAGGAUACGGAAUGAGACAUAAGCUAGUAGCUAGUUAUAGAAGCUACUAGCGAGCUGGCAUAUGAGUACGGGUCAGUAUACGAGCCUGGCCCGGCCAACGGGCGAGCGUAGUUGGGCCUUAACGCUCCGUAGAGUAAGAAUAAGAAGCACUAUUGCAUUGCCAAACUUUUCCCUUUCUCUCUAGUUCUCUAAAACUUCAUACAUGACGGCAGCUUCAGCACACACUGCUAUCGCAUUCACCUUUGUUUAGUAUCUACCCACCAUAGAAAGACCUUCUCAGCCCCUGAUCAAGUUGUGAAACCACCACAUAAGCCCUUAUGCAGACGAUAGGGAUGUGUGUUCAACACCUGCUUUUAGUCAGAAAAUAGCUACUUCCUCUCGGCUGUCGAGAUAGGUCUUCUGUCAUGAGUCAACCUUAUAUAGGGCCAUAAUCAAGGCUUAGAUUAUCAUGAGCCACUCAUGUAUAAAGUUAUGAUUGAGUAGAGGUGCCAAGAGGAGAGGAUAGAUCUCUUGUGCUACGAAAAAUAUCUCCAUUUUAAACAUUGUUAUGAUUAGUGGUAGCAUAACUCUAAAAUCUCUUAGGUUCUUUAGGGGAGGUGAGCAGUCAGCAUAUUGUUGGGCUGUCUCACUGGUUAGGAUACGAACGUAGGUCACCCGUCAAGGGCUGCCCCCUAACCCCGAUGAUGGUGUGA